GAUGAACGCUGGCGGCGUGCCUAAUACAUGCAAGUCGAACGCAUAGCGAAAGGUGCUUGCACCUUUCAAGUGAGUGGCGAACGGGUGAGUAACACGUGGACAACCUGCCUCAAGGCUGGGGAUAACAUUUGGAAACAGAUGCUAAUACCGAAUAAAACUUAGUGUCGCAUGACACAAAGUUAAAAGGCGCUUCGGCGUCACCUAGAGAUGGAUCCGCGGUGCAUUAGUUAGUUGGUGGGGUAAAGGCCUACUAAGACAAUGAUGCAUAGCCGAGUUGAGAGACUGAUCGGCCACAUUGGGACUGAGACACGGCCCAAACUCCUACGGGAGGCUGCAGUAGGGAAUCUUCCACAAUGGGCGAAAGCCUGAUGGAGCAACGCCGCGUGUGUGAUGAAGGCGUUCGGGUCGUAAAGCACUGUUGUAUGGGAAGAACAGCUAGAAUAGGAAAUGAUUUUAGUUUGACGGUACCAUACCAGAAAGGGACGGCUAAAUACGUG
RNAcentral lists this ribosomal RNA (497 nucleotides) under uncultured bacterium. RNAcentral's name for it is "partial 16S ribosomal RNA". It matches the Rfam family "Bacterial small subunit ribosomal RNA", at positions 28 to 507 of the family's 1533-position model. The record is from RNAcentral.